GCUGUCGUGAAGUGAGGGCGCCGGCCGUAAAGCGCGGAAGCCUGGCACAGGAGGCUAGGCGGUGCUCGCCUGGGGAGAAGAGGCGGGAGCCGGGAGGAGGCGGCUGUCGGGAUUGUCCCAGCGCCAGGCUCGCCGUGGAAAGACGGGUCAGCGGCUCGCCUGGGGAUAUGCUCCAGUAUGUAAGUGCCCAGACUUCGAGUGGGACUGCUCCUGUGGAAAAAGAUACGCACCCGCUUAACGUGCAGGACCUUGCUUCCGAGGAGUCAAGAGUAUUCGUUCAAAGACAACCAACACUGGUCCCAGCAGUGUUUAAGCCACAGAUUGGUGUGAGAGCCAGGAAACUGAGCUUGUCUCAGGCACCAUUUGCAUUCGACCAUGGGAGGCUUUGCAAGAAUUAGUGCAAACGAAGCAAACUUUAAGGAUGUUAGCUCUCAAUACUGCAUAGACAGGAUUGUCAUGACCCCUUUUUUUGAAGCUGGUAAACCACCACAGGAGUGUGAAAAAUGCUCAACUCGAGCUGACUCAAAGGAUGGAGUCAAAUAGUGGACACCACAAGAUGAGGGACGACGACCACCCAGAGGACCCUCACAGAACCCCAGCUUUGGAACUGUGCAUGUGUUCACUAAACUAUGCCCAUCAUUAUUAUAGUAACACCUCUCUAUGCUUUGUAUGCAAAUUAUGGAGAGCACUCCAAAGAAUAUGAGCAUAAAAGGGCAGGGCUCAGGUCAGAGGGUGAGCUCCCACCACUGGCAAUACGCUUGGUGAAGAAGACCACCAAGUCAUUGCUGGAUCCACAGGUGGUGAUACUUCUCUCUCUCUUCCUCUCCCUUUCUCUUUCUUUCUUAGAAUCAUAGAAUAGUUUUGGUUGGAAGGGACCUCCAAAGGUCAUCUAGUCCAGCCCUCCUGCAAUGAGCAGGGACAUCUUGAACUAGAUCAGGUUGCCCAGAACCACAUCCAGCCUGGCCUUGAAUGUCUCUACGGAUGGCACAUCCACCACCUCUCUGGGCAACCUGUGCUGGUAUUUUACUACCCUCAUUGUAAAAAAUUUUUUCCUCACAUCCAGCCUGAACCUCCCCUCUUUUAGUUUAAAACUGUUACCCUCGUCCUAUUGCAACAGGCAGCUAUAAAUAGUUGUGUGUGCUCGUUGUACACCUAGAGGGGUGUAAAUGCCUUCCGAUGCCUCAGAGAAGAGCUUAUGUCAGAAUCUCGAUUCUAAAUGUAAAAUGAAUACCAGAUUCUUGCUCCGAAAUUCUGGGUUGUGCCAGCUUUUUCCAACUUGGGUUACUCUGGAGUUGCCCGGCAGCUGACGCCGUGCUCAGAUGCACCGAGUGUGAGCACUGCUUCUCCUCUCCUCUCCUCUCUUUUUUUAUUGAAUAUUGACUAGAACUAAGUAAAAACACGUGGCACGGGACUUGCUUAUCGAGUCAAAGUAGUCAUUGUUGAGUUAUAUCGAACCACAAGCCUCGUAUUUUGUAUUAAUAAAUCAUAAAA
This is a long non-coding RNA of Strigops habroptila (Kakapo), 1491 nucleotides long. NCBI's taxonomy places the organism in Eukaryota, Metazoa, Chordata, Aves, Psittaciformes, Psittacidae. The record is from Ensembl.